CCAAAACCAAGUCUCUCAGGCUAUUUAUUAGGUUUACAAAUACUCCCCCAACUCACACCUUAGCAGAAAGCAGAUCCUCUUCAGCUUUCCUAACUUUUUAGGCUCUUAGUUUAAGCAGCCCAAAUUCUUUUUUUUCUUUUUUAUUUUGACAGCACCAACCCAUGAUCUUAUUGAAGAACAAAAAGUACACAUAAAUACCAGAGAUAUGAGAAUGAAACAACACCAGAAAUCGAUGCUUCAGCUCAGCCACUCCUGAAAUCAGAACCAAGUAGUUCUUCAGAUGAAAAUUUGUCAAAGAGAGUUCAAAUUUUCAAGAAAAUCCCAAACUUUCAUGAUGUCAAGAGCUUACUAGGAAGCAGCAAAAUAUUCUCACAGGUCGCAGUUAUGGUGUUAUUCCAUAGCCUCGCUGAAGGUGGUCUACAUGCCUCAUUAAUGGUAUAAAUAAUAUCAACUGAAAGUUUUUCAGAAGUCUUAAAGUUACUAUAUUCUCUAACCGCUCAUACAGAAAUUUGUCAAACUCUGCAGCUAGUUUUGAUGACCAUGCUGCUUUCAGUAACAGGGGAGGAGUUGUUGCUAAGAAUUGGGCUCUUAGUGGACAGUACGAAUGUAAAUCAGGGACAUUGCUCAGUGCCCAAUAGUCUCAAUAUAGUCUUCUGAUAUUCUCUAAUUUUAAUUCUCAUUUUUGUCAUUAAAAAUCAUUGGUGUACGUCGGCAAGUAACCC
Long non-coding RNA from Beta vulgaris subsp. vulgaris (sugar beet), 722 nucleotides. RefSeq lists it as uncharacterized. The transcript has 3 exons. The record is from RefSeq and is a predicted model, not a curated record. Lineage: Eukaryota; Viridiplantae; Streptophyta; Magnoliopsida; Caryophyllales; Amaranthaceae.